This 463-nucleotide ribosomal RNA is filed under the name Vreelandella stevensii. RNAcentral's name for it is "partial 16S ribosomal RNA". It matches the Rfam family "Bacterial small subunit ribosomal RNA", at positions 340 to 795 of the family's 1533-position model. The record is from RNAcentral. Lineage: Bacteria; Pseudomonadati; Pseudomonadota; Gammaproteobacteria; Oceanospirillales; Halomonadaceae.
CCCGGGUGGCUGCAGUGGGGAAUAUUGGACAAUGGGCGAAAGCCUGAUCCAGCCAUGCCGCGUGUGUGAAGAAGGCCUUCGGGUUGUAAAGCACUUUCAGUGGGGAAGAAAGCCUUGGGGCUAAUACCCUCGAGGAAGGACAUCACCCACAGAAGAAGCACCGGCUAACUCCGUGCCAGCAGCCGCGGUAAUACGGAGGGUGCGAGCGUUAAUCGGAAUUACUGGGCGUAAAGCGCGCGUAGGCGGUCUGAUAAGCCGGUUGUGAAAGCCCCGGGCUCAACCUGGGAACGGCAUCCGGAACUGUCAGGCUAGAGUGCAGGAGAGGAAGGUAGAAUUCCCGGUGUAGCGGUGAAAUGCGUAGAGAUCGGGAGGAAUACCAGUGGCGAAGGCGGCCUUCUGGACUGACACUGACGCUGAGGUGCGAAAGCGUGGGUAGCAAACAGGAUUAGAUACCCUGGUAGUC